Molecule: long non-coding RNA, 941 nt
Filed under: Marmota monax (woodchuck)
Lineage: Eukaryota; Metazoa; Chordata; Mammalia; Rodentia; Sciuridae
Source: RNAcentral
CUGCUUUGUAGGCCUCUGGGUCCCCGUGAGUCCUGCAGUGGGCAGUGUGGCCAUCCCUGCUUCCUCAGGGGUCUUCCUCUCCCAGAGGCUCUCGUGUUGAAGACUUGGUCCUCAAUGCAGCAAUGUCCAGAGGGGGGGCUUUGGGAAGCAGUUGGAUGGUGGGUGUUGGGGGCUCUGAGCUUGUUUGUGGAUUAAUCCACUGAGGGAUUCAUAGCUGAAUGGAUUCCUGGGAGGUGGUAGAAAUGGCAGGAGGUGGAGCCUAGCUGGAGCAGUGGGUCCUUGAGGAUGUACCCUGGGACUAGAUUCCCCUGGCCCCUGCUUCUUUCUCUCUCUCUCUGCGUCCCACCAUGAGGUGAGCUGCUUGGUUUUCCAUGCCCUUCCACCAAGAUGUUCUGUCCCCAAUGCAGCCAGCUGGCCAUGGACUGAAUUCUCUGAAACCAUGAGCCAAAAUAAGCCUUUCUUUCCCUAAGCUGACUUUCUCAGGUGUUUUGUCAUAGCGACAGAAAAGCUGACUAACACAUGGGGCAUUCUGGGCCUGGCUGUCUGCACCUUUCCGACAGCUUUGCUGGAGAGUCUGAAUGAUGAGAAUGGACCAUGAAGGGAGUUUCCUCUUCUGUUCUCAUGUCCUGCUGUCCUCUUCGUGAGUUCUUCCUGGAGCCACCUUGUAUACCUGGCACUGUGUCAUGUUCUCACCCACCCCCACAUCUCUCACCUGAGAUGCUGAUCUGGCUUGUCAUCUCUGCUGGACUCUCUGGGAUGACCAGAUGACCACUUUGGAUCUUGGCCAUCUUGGCCUCCCUUUGUCAUCCUGAGCAGAGCCUUUACCUACUACUUAUUUGGGGUCCUCCUCCUGGGAUUUAUUUCAUUGAGUCCUGAUAUGGUUUGGAUGUGAGGUGUCCCCCAAAAGCUCACGUGUGAGACAAUGCAAGAAGAUUCAGAGA